AGGACCAGUCAACCCGGUCAAACGCUUUCUCUGCGUCUGUUGUUAAUAGCAAAGUUGGUAUUUUCUUUUCUGUUGCAUGAUGUAUCAGGUUGAUCAGUUUGGUACAGUUGUCCUUUCCCUCUCUCCCCUUCACAAAUCCUGCCUGUUCCGGGUGUAUAAGGGUAGGGAUGAUGUCUUGCAGUCUAUUGGCUAACAUUUUGGCGUAUAAUUUCUGGUCUAGGUUUAUUAACGAAAUGGGUCUGUAACUUCCGCAUGUUGCUGGAUCUUUAUUGGGUUUGUGGAGUACUGUAAUCUGUGCCUCUUGUGCUUGUUUUUGAAAAUGUUUUUUAUCAGAUAUGGAGUUAAAAUGUCUUAGCAUUAUGCUAGUAAUCAGUUGUUGAUAUUCUUUAUAAAAGCCAAUACUGUAUCCAUCAGGGCCUGGGCUUUUGUUUUGUGGGGCUUCUUUGAUUACUCUCCAUAGUUCUUUUUCUGUGAAGGGACUAUCUAGCUGCUUUUUUUGUAUGUCAGAAAGCUUGGGUAAUUGCAAUUGAUCUAAGUAUUGUUUCAUUUUUUCCAGUUUCUCCUUGGAAUUGCCUCCUGGGUUCAGGUUGUAGAGUGCAUGAUAGAACUCUUGGAAACAAUUCGCAAUUUCUGGGUUAUGGACGAUUUCUGAGAAGAACAAUCAAGUAAAGGGUUAAGGGUUACAUUAAGAUCUCCGCCGAUCAAUAUUAGUCCUUCUGCGAAUUCCUGUAGCUGUGAUGUGACUACUUUCAUAUAUUUUAUCUGUUCCUUAUUUGGUAUAUAUAUAGAGCAAAGCGUCAUAGUUGUAUUGUAUAGCUUUACUUUGGUCAUGACAUAAUGGCCUUCUGUAUCUUGUUUCGUGUCUAGCACUGUUAACGGAAUGUCUUUGUGGAUUAAGAUUGCUGUUCCUUUCACUUUUUUUCCCGUAUUCGAGCUGAGAAAAAUCUGUGUAUACCAUCUAUUUCUAAUCACUGUCUGGUGGGACUGUUUGAUAUGCGUUUCCUGUAAAUAAACUAUUUUUGCUCCA
Molecule: long non-coding RNA, 1027 nt
Organism: Xenopus laevis (African clawed frog)
Lineage: Eukaryota; Metazoa; Chordata; Amphibia; Anura; Pipidae
Exons: 2
Source: RefSeq, a predicted model, not a curated record